RNAcentral lists this ribosomal RNA (497 nucleotides) under uncultured bacterium. RNAcentral describes it as "partial 16S ribosomal RNA". It matches the Rfam family "Bacterial small subunit ribosomal RNA", at positions 28 to 507 of the family's 1533-position model. The record is from RNAcentral.
GAUGAACGCUGGCGGCGUGCCUAAUACAUGCAAGUCGAGCGAACGGACGAGGAGCUUGCUCCUCUGACGUUAGCGGCGGACGGGUGAGUAACACGUGGAUAACCUACCUAUAAGACUGGGAUAACUUCGGGAAACCGGAGCUAAUACCGGAUAAUAUAUUGAACCGCAUGGUUCAAUAGUGAAAGACGGUCUUGCUGUCACUUAUAGAUGGAUCCGCGCUGCAUUAGCUAGUUGGUAAGGUAACGGCUUACCAAGGCAACGAUGCAUAGCCGACCUGAGAGGGUGAUCGGCCACACUGGAACUGAGACACGGUCCAGACUCCUACGGGAGGCAGCAGUAGGGAAUCUUCCGCAAUGGGCGAAAGCCUGACGGAGCAACGCCGCGUGAGUGAUGAAGGUCUUCGGAUCGUAAAACUCUGUUAUUAGGGAAGAACAAAUGUGUAAGUAACUAUGCACGUCUUGACGGUACCUAAUCAGAAAGCCACGGCUAACUACGUG